AGCUUUUUGAAUUUAUAAAAAGUAAUUUCUGCCCGGUGUUUUUAUUAACGGCUGCGGUACUCUGACCGUGCGAAGGUAGCAUAAUCACUUGCCUUUUAAUUGGAGGCUGGUAUGAAUGGGAUCACAGAAAAUAAACUUUCUUUUAGUUAUUUUUAUAAAUUUUUGUUGAAGUGAAGAAACUUUAUUUUAAAAAAAAGACAAGAAGACCCUAUCGAGUUUUAUUUUUCUUAGAAAUUUUUCUUUUUUAUUUAUAAAUAAAGUUAUUUUUUAGUAAAAAUUGGAUUGGGGCGAUUUGGGAAAUAUUUUUAACUUCCUUUUUUUGAUUUUAUUUUUAUUUUUUUAUAGAUCCUUUUUUAAAGAUUUUUAGAUUUAAUUACCGUAGGGAUAACAGCGUAAUCUUUUUGGAGAGUUCUUAUCGAUAAAAGGGAUUGCGACCUCGAUGUUGGACUAAGAUAAUCUUAAGGUGCAGAAGCUUUAAAAGAUGGGUCUGUUCGACCUUUAAAAUCUU
Molecule: ribosomal RNA, 508 nt
Filed under: Cephalothrix cf. alba MCZ IZ 45638
Lineage: Eukaryota; Metazoa; Nemertea; Palaeonemertea; Archinemertea; Cephalotrichidae
Description: partial 16S ribosomal RNA
Rfam family: Bacterial large subunit ribosomal RNA
Source: RNAcentral